CUACGUGCCAGCAGCCGCGGUAAUACGUAGGUGGCAAGCGUUGUCCGGAAUUAUUGGGCGUAAAGCGCGCGCAGGCGGAUUGGUCAGUCUGUCUUAAAAGUUCGGGGCUUAACCCCGUGAUGGGAUGGAAACUGCCAAUCUAGAGUAUCGGAGAGGAAAGUGGAAUUCCUAGUGUAGCGGUGAAAUGCGUAGAUAUUAGGAAGAACACCAGUGGCGAAGGCGACUUUCCGGACGAAAACUGACGCUGAGGCGCGAAAGCCAGGGGAGCGAACGGGAUUAGAUACCCCGGUAGUCCUGGCCGUAAACGAUGGGUACUAGGUGUAGGAGGUAUCGACCCCUUCUGUGCCGGAGUUAACGCAAUAAGUACCCCGCCUGGGGAGUACGACCGCAAGGUUGAAACUCAAAGGAAUUGACGGGGGCCCGCACAAGCGGUGGAGUAUGUGGUUUAAUUCGACGCAACGCGAAGAACCUUACCAGGUCUUGACAU
This 487-nucleotide ribosomal RNA is filed under the name uncultured bacterium. RNAcentral's name for it is "bacterial SSU rRNA". It matches the Rfam family "Bacterial small subunit ribosomal RNA", at positions 501 to 987 of the family's 1533-position model. The record is from RNAcentral.